CCACCGCCGCCGCAGUCCCCUCCUCCCUCUCAUCCCACCCGCGCUCUCCCUCUCCCUCUCACGCCGCCGCCGCCGCCGCCGCCGCCGUCUUCGCCUCCCCCACACGCCACCGUCUUCGCCUCCCUCUCGCGCCGCCGCCGUCGCCGUCGCCGCAUCCCCCUCGCGCCGCCGCCAUCGUGUCCCUGUCGCCUCCGCCUUCCCUCUAGCCGCCGUCUCCACCUCCUCCGCCGCCACCGUCACGUUGAGAUCUCCGAGCUCCUCCGCCUCCCACUCGCGUCGUUGCGGUCGCCAAGCGGUGGUGAAGGCGGGGCCCUACCCACCCCAAAACCAUAGCUACCGCCGCCGCCCACGCCCUCUCCUUCCUCUCCUCUCUCUAACCCUCUCGCUCUCUCUCUCUCUCUCUCUCCCUCUCCUGCCGUCGCCAUCGCCGUUGCCACCGCUGAGCGCUGCCUCCGCCUCCACCUCGCGCCGCCACAUCCGCCUCGCGCCGUCGCCAUCGUCGUCCCCGUCGCCGCGCGCCUCCACCUCUGCCGCAGUCGCCGCCGUUGUUGAAGCCGAUGACAGCUCCACGGUGCCCCUUCUCUCUCCUCUCAGCGGUGGCGGCCAAGGAGGCUAGGGACGCGGCGGCGGAUCGAGGAGACCGAGGCGGUGGUUGAGCCACCAAGCGAGGGGGGAGAGGUGCGUGGUGGUGGCGGUGGAGGAGACGUGCUACGCGUGGGCCGCCGAACCCGAUGAUGGCGAGGUACGUGUACGCCUUCGUGUUCUUGGCGACCAACCUGCUCACCUGGAUGCUCCACGACUUCGGCCACCCCGUACUCGCCGAGCUCCGGCGACUCCGCGGCAGCUGCCGGGGCGCCAGCUACUGCCUCGGCGCGAGGGCGUCCUCCGCCUCAGCCUUGGCUGCUUCCUCUUCUUCUACGUGAUGUUCUUGUCGACGGUGAGGACGAGGAAGACGCACGAUCGCCGGAAUUCAUGGCACUCCGAGUGGUGGCCGGCGAAGAUCGUGCUGUGGAUGGGCUUCACCGUCGUCCCCUUCUUCCUCCCCCCGCCUCUCAUCCAGCUCUACGGGAAGGUCGCGCAUUUCGGAGCAGGUUCACCCCUGCAAUUGAUAUUUGGAGCAUAGGAUGUAUAUUUGCAGAGCUGCUUACAGGAAAGCCACUCUUUCCAGGGAAAAAUGUUGUGCAUCAAUUGGAUCUCAUGACUGAUCUACUUGGCACUCCAGCAGAAUCCCUUGCUAAGAUACGGAAUGAGAAAGCUCGAUGAUGCCUGAGCAACAUGAGGAAAAAGCCUCGGGUUCCUUUUACUAAAAAGUUUCCAGUGGUUUGGAGAUGCUGAGAAGUUGACAAAGGCCCUUUUCUCCUUUGCUAGCCGAUUAGCUCCCGUUAUCAUAUUUGUGGAUGAGGUUGCAUGAUGGUAAUCGGAACAAGCUGAAGCUUAAGGAUGAGUUUGUACUGCUGGGCUGCUGGCAGCUCAGGUAGAAGAGGCCUUCAAAUAAUUAAAAGUUUCAGAGAUUACUAACCUUAGUUCUCAGGUUAGUUUAUUCAGACCACUUCCGAUCCUUUUGGCAUGCGAUUAUUUUGUGACUCAUUUCAGAUAGAUUGUCUUCAAUUCAUCCAUUGUGAAUAUUUGAAUUGCUUCCUUGCACUAAAUGUAUGCAGGCAUCAAGGUUAGUAGUCUGGCUAAUAUUGCUCGAUUGUUAAUUAAUCGUGACGACCUUAUAAAAUCUUGACUUUUGUUUCAGAAUAUGGAUAGAACAUCAUGCUACAACUUUACCUGCUAUUUGGAAACAUAGAGACUUUGGAUGUUUCUUCUUAUUUUAACAAGAAAGACAUCAACUUUUUUUUUUUGCUGAAAUUUUUCAUUCAGAUCUAAACCUCAACAUUUUCUAUACCACAACAUAUUGAUACUGGGACAGAUGGCCUUGAAUGUUUUUCAUGACCCAGCAGUUACAUAGGUUAUGUUGAUUAUCCUCAUAUAUGUCUUUUGACUUGUCGGUGUCUUUAUUUGAUUUAUUAUUAUCAACAUGCAUAAACUGUCCGGAAUAUGAAUUUCUCUGCUUUACAAAAGCUAACAAUAUUAUGUGGUUUUAUGUCCUUAAAACUCAACUGUUUAUUUCUAAGUGUAAUUAAUUAAUUAAUUAGUAUGCACUCAUCACUUCAUGGUUCUUUUCAUAAGUACGGUUGGACAAAUAAGUUCUAUACAUAUGGAUGUAAUUAAUUGGCAUUUGGUUUCUUCAUACCACCAAACCUGCGAUCUAUUUGUUCUGUGUCAUAUAGAUGUCUAGCGGUAGCUUUAACAUAUCUUAAAAUUUCAUACUAAUGGUUCUCCAAUUCCCCAUGUCAUGCAUAAAAGGGUUGCCAUGCUAAUACCAAAUACAAGUCAGUAUAAAUACCAAAUACAAGUUAGUAUAAAUACCAAAUAUGCCGUGAUGACAUUUUUUUAACAUGUCUUGAGUUUCUCUGGUUUAGACCAUAGACUAAUUUGGUGUUUGUUGUAAAGAAAGGUUGAACAUGGAGUAGGCCCAGGUUAUGUCAACUGUCAUCUUAAAAUACUAGAGGAUAUGAUUUGGUAAAGCUGUAGAGGUUAGUUUAAUCAUAAAAAAGUAUCAUUUUACUUUAGCCAUAAUUUGGGAUGUAAAAUGAGCGAAAAAACUCAGUGCUCUGCUGAAAUAGUUUGUGAGAGUAAAGUGGACUUUUUUUUUUUUGUUAAAACAUCGUGAACAACGAGAUGCUUUAUAGGUCUUUCUACCAAGUACUGGGAAGAGACAUUUAGUUCACUUGUUUAGGGCAGCACAUAAACUUAUCCCUCAUAUGUUCUCUUUUAUGAAUGAUUAGAAUGUUGAAGAUGUACACGGCUAGAAAUCUACAGCAGAUAAACACAUUUGAGCAGAUGUACGCCAUUUGAUGACUUCUUUUUUAUGAAAUGCCAGUUCGUGAUAUUGCCUUACAACUUGUUGCAGGGUUAUGCCAUCCAUCUAAUGGGAGGUAUUACCAGCGAUUUGUGGACAAGCUCUCCAUUCUGGAUCUCCCUAUUUGGUUAGUUGGAUCACACCGUAGAGAACGCAAUGAGGCGUCGAAUUCGAUCAACUCUUGUAGUCUUUCUUGUAUGAAUUUUUCCCUAUUUACCCUGCAUGGUACUGUGCUAGGAGGCGUCGAAUUCGAUCAAAAAACUUACCUGUGAGGCGAUUGGCGUUGGCAGCGCUGCAUCUUCUACCAGUAAUCAAAAGAGUAGAUCCUCACAGAAGAACUGAAAAGUAAAGUGACGUACCAGUGUUUUGCGUUGAUAAUCAAGGAGCUUAAAUGACCUAGCCUGACAUGUGGUUGUUCUUUUGAUUUGUAAAUACUAUCCAAAGAUGCUUAUGGUCCUCGCGCUUAUGGUUACCCUUUUGCUUAUGUGCCAGCUCGUUCUGCUGCUGCUUAUAAAAACCUUGUCAAUCGCGCUAAGUUGCUGGUCCUAAGGAUCUUUUUGGUCAUGUGCUAAGCGGCAUAGUUGAACUUCUCUAUGUGUAUAUCUGCGCCUGAAGACGCUAUAUGCAACUGCAUCAGCCUUCAUUAGUGAAGCAGAAGAAAACACGCUCUGCUGCAACACAGCAUCAGGUUCACUAUAAAAAAAAAUCAUGUGCAUACUGGUUGUUUAGGUCGUGCACUCAUAGCUACAUUAGUUGUACAUAAGCUAUCUACAGGCAGCUGACUUGUUAUAAUGCAUCUACUAUAAUACUAUCUGCCACUAUCUGCCACA
Oryza sativa Japonica Group (Japanese rice) is the source of this 3738-nucleotide non-coding RNA. Lineage: Eukaryota; Viridiplantae; Streptophyta; Magnoliopsida; Poales; Poaceae. The record is from RefSeq and is a predicted model, not a curated record.